UGGGGAAGGGCUUUCGCCCACCUCCUCCUCUCACGGGUUUUUCAGCGUGGGAUCCAAACCAAAUUCCAACUUGGUCCAGCGGGGGCCGUCCCCGGUGCCGGAACAGAUCUGCCAGAAACCCACUGCCCGGCUGCUUCCGGGUGGUACAUUUUUCCCAAAGAAAGGAAUUUCAAACUUCUCUUGGGGAGCAGAGGGAUGCUGCACGGACCUGGGCCUAGAGAGCAGGCGAGGGCGCAGGGCAGGGACAGAGCGAGGCAGACUGGAGGCUGAGUCAGUCCUCUGGGGGCGUUUGGGGUGGAGUGUCAGGAGCAGAUGGCAUUGCCUCUGUCCCUCCCUGCUAGGGGGUGUGUAGGGACCACACCGUUGGCCACAGGAUUUCAGGCUCUCUCAGCCUCUGCGCUGGCUGCAAAGCCCCUGGACGGCAGGUCGGCGAGGAGCUGCUUCCUCGUCCCUGGCCGGCAGACCCGGGUUCCUCCACGCUGCAUUCUCCAGCUGGAGCAAAUGCGUGCCAGCCCCCCACCCUGCUCGCUCCCAGGAACGCGCUGCACGUCCCAGGCUUGUCCUAGGACCCUGAAGCUGACCCGGCAGCACAAACCCCCUGCUCCCAGCGCGGGGGCUGGGGUCUCUGCUGGCUGCUUCCCAGUCAUGGAGCUCAGCUCCAGCCGGUCUUCGGAGCCUCCCACUCAUACGGGCUGAGAAGAAGUGCGGAGCCACUGGAGAGAAGCAAUGGCUCAUUCCCGCUUCCUCCCGGCCCCUGGAAGUCAGGGCAGCCCCUUGGAGGGAAACCCACUCCAAGACACUCCCAACGGGAGGAGAGCGGAACCACUCGCCUCCUUGGCCAAAUAUUUACAAAGAGAUAGCUGUGGCCACACAAAGCCCUUUUCUUCCAUUCCGCCACCAAAAAUCUGGUCCCCGCGUGGAGAAUGAGCUCCCUGCCGCCCCUCUCCCAGGGACUCUGAGUGUCCUGCUGGCCCCAGGCCCUGGCCAAGGGGCGGUGAGGCUCCGGGCCCCACUGCCGCAGCCCGGGGGCCCACCGGGCAGCCGCACCACCUGAAGGCCCCGGAGCCAACGGUGCGAGGCUGGGAGAACAAAGAGCAAGGACUCACCCCAGCAGCUGAAAGUCGGGCUGCGCUGGACGCCGCCGGAGAGCCGCGGCCCGCCCACCAGGUCACAUGGCUCGGAGCCCAGCAGAGGAUCAAAGGGGCUUUGUGGCCGAGGAACAAGGAGCCUCCCAGAGCGCGGGGCAGAGGCCCUGUGAUGUGCUGGGACCCAGCGGGGGAUGGGCACGGGGGUCCCCAAGGGGGAGCCCACCCUGCUGGGCUGGGCCUGGGCGCUGGGAUCUUCCAGACCCAUCCCGAUGCCGCGCCUCUGACCCCAGUGAGUCACUCCCAGGAACAGGCCUGGCCAAGGCGGCCCCACGCCAACUCCCACAUGAGUGCUGGGGGGGCUGGUCGGGGAGGUUUGCUAGGGGCCAGGAGCAAACCCUGAGCCUCUGGUGACACCUGGGAAAGGCAUCUUAGGGCCCUGGGCUGGGUUCUCCAAGGGACAGCCAUCCCUAGCCAUGAGGUGUGGCUCUAGCCCAGCCCCCAGGGCCUCGUGCCAAGGCCAUUCCAGUCCCACCCUGUGCUGAUGGUCAAGACCCCAGGGCACCCACUCCACUGGCCACACAUGGGGACCCAAGGCCCCUGGCUGCCACUCCUGGGAUGUGACCUUCCCAUCUAUCAAAUGGGCACCGUCAAGUCUGAACUCCAGAGCCAGGCGCAGGUCCAGCCUGGCCCAGCCAGGAGGGGCCCCCCAAACCCUCGGCUCCUCUUCCCCCAGGAAGGGAGUUCCCAGGCCCAUCCUCCCCAGGCAGCUCCAGGACCCAGGGAAAGAGCAGGCUGAGGGGCCCAGGGUCAGGGCUGACCCAGCCUCGGAGACAGGGCCUGCACGCCGCCCGUGGCCUCCUCCCGGGGACAGAGGGCUCCCUCCGGGUGCUCCCCGCUGAACCUCCCGCUUAGACUCGGGCCCUAUUCUGCCUCCCAGCUUCUGGCCACUCAGGCCAUUCCCGGCAAACCUUUCCUGGCCACUCUGGCCAACGGCCUGCUCUCCCCGGGCCUUUUCCCUCCCUCCUCCGGAUUCCUGGCUUGGGAGGUGGCAGCUUGGAUGCUGUGCACAGGUGCCCAUCCCUCUUGCAGCUGACCUGCUCUUGUCACCAAAUGAAGUUCUCCAGAGCACAAGAGAGGGAACCCCGGGGCUACUCAGCGGCUUCUUCAACCUGAAAUGCCACCUUGGGCACUUUCUCAGGUCUCUGCCACUCAGCACUCUCACACUCAGUGUCACAGCCUGUCACCUGCAUAGGGGCCACCAACCCUCUGGGAGGAACAGAAUUCGAGCCACAGCUAUAAGCUCCGACCUCCUCGUUGCCAAAUUCAGAACACAAGAAUGACCGGGCGACACUCAUCUUAAUACAUUUUUACCUCAUCUAAGACACGUGAUCAACACGAAAACCCUGGAGACACCCCGGUUGCUCUCUCCGUCAAUACUGAGGCUCUGAAAUCCAGGGUGUUUCCCACUUAGGCCCCUCCCAGUUUGCACACAUCCCAUGCUGCAUGCUCAGGAGCCACGCGUGGCCAGGAGCCGCUGUGCUGGACGGUGUGGCCCUAGGCAGUGUCCUUUCGCCCUGGGAUCACCCAGUCCUGGAGAACCCUGGACUGAGAUGCCUCACUGCAGCCCUGAGUCACUUCCAGAACCACCGUGUCUGCACUUCCGUGCAGAGGUAGAAACACAGUGGCCUCGGCUCCAGGAGACGGCUGGCCGCCCAUGCCCACAUCUUGGAUUUCAGUAUCAGAGAGAACAGAGCUUCUCUGAGGAAAUCAACCAGCUGGACCGAGGCUAGGCAUCAUCCAGACCUGCCCACCUUGUCUUAUUAAACUCACCCCCAGUGCCCAGGGCAGGACGCACCUGGGAGCGGGUGGCUGGCCACUGGCUCGUGGCGUCUGGCCCCGGAGGGUGCGCCUAGGCAUUGGCGUGGCCCCAGGAGCUGAAGCAGGAGCUUGGCUUGGUGGAGGGCCUGAGGCCGUGGGAAGCUGCCCAGGCCACAGGCAAAGGGAGAGCAGAAAACCGUGGCAGCGCAGGCCGAGACCCGGGCUCCCUCCACCCCUGCCCUUCCGGAGGCGGAGGUGUCCACACGCUGGCUUCCGCCAACUCACACCCUUCCAACAGCGAGCUCAUCAAGCCGUGUUUAUUUAUAUUAAAGUCACAUAGAAUUGCACUUAAAGAAGAAUUUAUGGAGACAGAAAGCAGACCAGUGGCUGCCAAGGCCAAGGGCGAGGGGAGGGGAGGGGACGGCUCUUCGUGGACACGGAGGAUGACAGGGUUCUGGAGCUCCACUGACCAACAGCCACGUGACACUGAAGGCACGAGAGGCUACCAGCGGUGCAGCCGACCUUUCGGGUGUCACCACAAUAAAACAUACCAGGGAAAGGGA
This is a non-coding RNA of Ictidomys tridecemlineatus (thirteen-lined ground squirrel), 3469 nucleotides long. Lineage: Eukaryota; Metazoa; Chordata; Mammalia; Rodentia; Sciuridae. The record is from RefSeq and is a predicted model, not a curated record.